UACAGAGGUCUCAAGCGUUGUUCGGAUUCAUUGGGCGUAAAGGGUGCGUAGGCGGCGCGGUAAGUCGGGUGUGAAAUCUCGGAGCUUAACUCCGAAACUGCAUUCGAUACUGCCGUGCUUGAGGACUGGAGAGGAGACUGGAAUUUACGGUGUAGCGGUGAAAUGCGUAGAUAUCAAGAGGAACACCUGAGGUGAAGACGGGUUGCUGGGCCGACACUGACGCUGAGUGCGCGAAAGCCAGGGGAGCAAACGGG
RNAcentral lists this ribosomal RNA (254 nucleotides) under uncultured bacterium. RNAcentral describes it as "partial 16S ribosomal RNA". It matches the Rfam family "Bacterial small subunit ribosomal RNA", at positions 524 to 776 of the family's 1533-position model. The record is from RNAcentral.